Long non-coding RNA from Numida meleagris (helmeted guineafowl), 1416 nucleotides. RefSeq lists it as uncharacterized. The record is from RefSeq and is a predicted model, not a curated record. The transcript is spliced from 2 exons. NCBI's taxonomy places the organism in Eukaryota, Metazoa, Chordata, Aves, Galliformes, Numididae.
UGAGCAUGCAAACGUAACAAACAAACAAACAAAACAAAAGCGAUCUCACACCAAAAGCCCUUUCCGUUCAUGGAUUUAUGGUCUUUCAGUCAAAUACGCAGGCCGACUUUGCAUGCCCUUUACCGCUAGGGAGACAAGAACAAGAGAAUUCGGGUCAAUAAAAGCCGGCGGUUUUCCGUACCUCUGCAGCACUUUCUUGGUGGAGGUGUUUAUUUUGUGAAGAUGGAGUUCAAGGCUAACAAACAGCAAUGGUCCAAGUCAGGUGUUCCCAAUACUGCAUCAACUUAGAUGUGUUGGACAUUCAGUCUUCAGAUACCAUUCCGUACGUCCCUCAGUCCGCCUUGAAAAGAGGAAGCCUCAUUUUUUUUACGCACGGGUCAUCUCGAUUGCUUCUUCCACAUCUGACAAAGAGGUAGAGCAGAUGCUCUGUUCUGAAUGUGAAAGUCGGGAGGGAGUGUUCGGAUGCAGGGAGGUCACCCUUGAAAAAACGCGCCCAUCGGUCAUCUAGGAUAAUGAGGUGUUUUAGCCUGAGAAGGGAUUUGCUUCUGUCAUCUCAGGGCUCGUGAGCUUGUGUAACUUAGUUUCUAAUGCUUAACUUAAAAGAAAAUGACUGUGUUUUCUACUUCCUCCCUCAGCUGUAAUGAACACAGCUCUCCUGUUCAGAGAGCAGCGUGCAAGUCAGUCAGGAGCAAGCUCCACUCUGUGAAGAAAGAGCAUGUAAUAAGUAACCACUCCGACCACAGAAAAUAACUUUUUCAGCUUGUAGUUGAAGCUUUUCAGGAACCAUUUCCACUUUUGGAUUGUUGUGAAGCUGUUGCUGAUACAGAUCCAUAUGGUCUCUAUAGGCUGCUCUCCAUUUUGGAUGCAUGUGAAGCUGGAUGGGAUAAUAAGGCACUGUGAUGGAGGCAAUGAAGAAAGUAGUUACAGUCUUCCACUGUGACCGCUAACGUGAUCUUCAGCGUCAUAGAAUCGUAGAAUCACCCAGGUUGGAAAUGACCCCCAAGACCAUCUAGUCCAACCAUCCACCUACACCAGUAUUUUGCCACCACACCACCAGUGCAACAUCUAAACGUUUCGUGAGCACCUCCAGGGACGGUGACCCAACCGCCUCCCUGGACCGCCGGUUCCAGCACCUGACCACUCUUUUGGAGAAGAAACGUUUCCUAAUAUCCAACCUGAGCCUCCUCUGGCACAGCCUGAGACCAGUGCCUCUAGUCCUAUCGCUAGUGACGCGGGAGAAGGGGCCCACUCCCCAGCCCACAACAGCCUCCUUUCACAGAGUUGUAGACAGCGAUAAGACGUCCCCGGAGCCUCCUCUUCUCCAGACUGAACAACCCCAGUUCCCUCAGCUACUGCUCGUGAGCUUGCUCACUCUGCCGCAAGCCUGUAGCAAUACAUGGGGUUGUUGCGGCCAAA